GAAUUAGCCUAGGGGUGGAAGGCGAGUCGGUAGGGCGUACAGCUACCAACCUGAAGGUUGCGGGUUCGAUUCCCGCCCUUCGCACA
Massospora cicadina is the source of this 86-nucleotide non-coding RNA. The record is from the annotation of a GenBank genome assembly. NCBI's taxonomy places the organism in Eukaryota, Fungi, Entomophthoromycota, Entomophthoromycetes, Entomophthorales, Entomophthoraceae.